This 126-nucleotide ribosomal RNA is filed under the name Lepisosteus oculatus (spotted gar). Lineage: Eukaryota; Metazoa; Chordata; Actinopteri; Semionotiformes; Lepisosteidae. The record is from RNAcentral.
GCCAGCAGUCGUAUCACCUUGCAACUCACAACUCAUAACUGACAACCCACUGAAGCUAAGCAGGUGUGAGCCUGUUCAGUACAUGGAUAGGAGACCUCCUGGGAAAAACUAAGGUUGCUGCUGAAA